GCAACUCUACAUAAAAAAUUUACCUUUGUCCCUUAGGGAAAGCUGAUGGCAGAGGCUGCCAAAUGCCUGGGUCUGAAGCAUGUGAUACGGUGGCCUGGAGAUUGUCAACUGCCUGAGUAUGUGGCAGGAAGUACACCAAGGACUUAAAAUCCCUGGGAACAACCCUCCACCAGCAGUGGCAGUAGAUAAAUGCCCAACCUCAGCCUCUGGUCAACGUGGUCAGAAUAAGAUGGUGUCAGUUGUGUUUAAGUAUGAGCAGCUGUGAGCUGGUGAGCAGGGCAUUUAAGGAGUCAUUGCAUGUAUCAUCGUUGUCAAGAACAGGGCUUUAUAUAAAAAUGCCACCUUCAGUCAUUUAUUUUCAGUAUCCAGCAGUGGCUGGCAUCUAGUAGGUAUUCAGUGGAUGCCUGGGAAAUGAACAAACAUAUUCCUUUAAUGGUGGACUCAGCAGUCUUCAGAGCUUCCUUAAUGACUGGAGAAUGUCUUUAACUGUUAAACCUGUGCACCUGUGUUUCCCAGGCAUCCUUUGGCCUUGAAUUCCCAAAGGAACUCCUUCUCCCAUAUCUCCUAAGAGCUCUGGAAGUAGCAGCUCAUCAGUGCCCUCCCUGACCUGGGAGGUUAGGCCAGGAUGCCCCUAAGAUCGUCUGGUUAAUCCAGCCAAUCCCAGAGCUGGGGCCAGAACCCCUGUGUGUAGCCCUCUUCCCACAGUAGCCACUGUGGACAAUCCAAGAAAGUACUCGGGGAGGCUAACAGCCGUAUUUUCAGAUUCAAUUUCAACAAAGUGUUACCAUUUAAGAAAGCCUGCCAAAAAGAUAAUGGGGAUGAAAGAGUGCUCUGUAAACUGUAAAGUGCCAUUCAAAGGUUAGCCAUCUGAGGUUCACUGCCAAGGUCAAUAAACCAAGGCCUGGGUGUAGAGCCA
Molecule: long non-coding RNA, 916 nt
Filed under: Felis catus (domestic cat)
Lineage: Eukaryota; Metazoa; Chordata; Mammalia; Carnivora; Felidae
Description: lncRNA (ENSFCAG00000048851.1)
Source: RNAcentral